Molecule: ribosomal RNA, 159 nt
Filed under: Aeromonas veronii
Lineage: Bacteria; Pseudomonadati; Pseudomonadota; Gammaproteobacteria; Aeromonadales; Aeromonadaceae
Description: partial 23S ribosomal RNA
Rfam family: Bacterial large subunit ribosomal RNA
Source: RNAcentral
CUGAAAGCAUCUAAGCGGGAAGCGAGCCCUGAGAUGAGUCAUCCCUGACCCCUUGAGGGUCCUAAAGGGCCGUUGGAGACCACAACGUUGAUAGGCGGGGUGUGUAAGUGCAGCGAUGCAUUGAGCUAACCCGUACUAAUUACCCGUGAGGCUUAACCA